GCGCUCGUGGCCAAGUAGCUAAGGCAACAGGCUGCAAAUUUACUGGUAAGAUAAGGUUUUACCAAUGAAAAGUUGUCCCCUGUGAUCCUGGGUGCAAAUCCCAGCGAGCGCU
RNAcentral lists this transfer RNA (112 nucleotides) under marine sediment metagenome. It matches the Rfam family "tRNA". From Rfam's summary of the family: Transfer RNA (tRNA) molecules are approximately 80 nucleotides in length. The record is from RNAcentral.